AGGGACCAGUUUAUGCAGUUGCUGCUUUCACAAGAGACUUUCUGAAGCUCUUUUAAUGGACAGUCCAUUCUCAGCAACCUGCAAGGUCAAUGUCACUUAUACCACAGAGAAGUCAUAGAGAUUUGAGUGUCUUUUACAGAUGUGAAGUCGAUUAGUCUUCAGUCUCACUGCCACAAUCUCAAAGACCCAGUGUGUGGCCUCCAACACAUGG
Molecule: long non-coding RNA, 211 nt
Filed under: Parus major (Great Tit)
Lineage: Eukaryota; Metazoa; Chordata; Aves; Passeriformes; Paridae
Description: lncRNA (ENSPMJG00000012511.1)
Source: RNAcentral